Molecule: ribosomal RNA, 497 nt
Filed under: uncultured bacterium
Lineage: Bacteria
Description: partial 16S ribosomal RNA
Rfam family: Bacterial small subunit ribosomal RNA
Source: RNAcentral
GAUGAACGCUGGCGGCGUGCCUAAUACAUGCAAGUCGAGCGAACGGACGAGAAGCUUGCUUCUCUGAUGUUAGCGGCGGACGGGUGAGUAACACGUGGAUAACCUACCUAUAAGACUGGGAUAACUUCGGGAAACCGGAGCUAAUACCGGAUGAUAUUUUGAACCGCAUGGUUCAAAAGUGAAAGACGGCCUUGCUGUCACUUAUAGAUGGAUCCGCGCUGCAUUAGCUAGUUGGUAAGGUAGCGGCUUACCAAGGCAACGAUGCAUAGCCGACCUGAGAGGGUGAUCGGCCACACUGGAACUGAGACACGGUCCAGACUCCUACGGGAGGCAGCAGUAGGGAAUCUUCCGCAAUGGGCGAAAGCCUGACGGAGCAACGCCGCGUGAGUGAUGAAGGUCUUCGGAUCGUAAAACUCUGUUAUUAGGGAAGAACAUAUGUGUAAGUAACUGUGCACAUCUUGACGGUACCUAAUCAGAAAGCCACGGCUAACUACGUG